CUCUUUUGUUCCCUGUCCCACCGUAUUCCUCUGCCCUGCCCAGUCCGGUCUAUCUGUUUCCUGGAGAUCCAGGGGAUUCAGUGCAAGGCCUGGAGCUCAUUGUAAUGUCCUGUGUGAGGCCAUAUCAGCAGGUUGAAGGGUCUGCAAUGGAAGGCUGAAGAGUCUGCGCUGGAAGCCAGGAGACAAAAUCCAAGGUGAAGGAAAAGCCUGGAGCUCGU
Molecule: long non-coding RNA, 218 nt
Filed under: Chinchilla lanigera (long-tailed chinchilla)
Lineage: Eukaryota; Metazoa; Chordata; Mammalia; Rodentia; Chinchillidae
Description: lncRNA (ENSCLAG00000028710.1)
Source: RNAcentral